CCAACAGGAUGUGAACAGGAAAUAUUGUAUGUAACUUCCAGGCUACACAUUUUUUAAGAAGCUGCUCACCUUCCACUCGUUUUCUCCCUUGUCCCACAGACUAGAAUGUGAAUGUGGUGAUAGUGACUGAGAUUCAUCUUUGUAAACAAGAGCAAAAACCUCCUUAGGGGGUGAUGAAACAAGAUAAAAAGAAUGAAGUCUCUGGAUAACAGUGUGGAACAGAACUGCCUGACGCUCAGGACUGUCAACUCAACUGCCUGCCAACCCAGACUCAGAUGAAGAAUAUCUACCAGACAAUGCAAAGAACAGCAAUGUUAUAAUAACCUGUUUCAGAAGCAUAUCCCAGACUUCAUCUAUUGGGUGCUGAACAGGCUAAAGGCUGUGCUGAACCACCCCCACAAGGAUGAAGACUCUGCUAUCUAAUCUGAAUCAAGCAAAAUAUUCCUCCCAAAUAAAGAUUAUCAACCAA
Molecule: long non-coding RNA, 469 nt
Organism: Phacochoerus africanus (Common warthog)
Lineage: Eukaryota; Metazoa; Chordata; Mammalia; Artiodactyla; Suidae
Exons: 3
Source: RefSeq, a predicted model, not a curated record